GUCGACGGCCAUACUACCCUGAACGCACCCGAUCUCAUCUGAUCUCGGAAGAUACAGUCCCAGGACUAUCGUUUAUU
Molecule: ribosomal RNA, 77 nt
Organism: Ochotona princeps (American pika)
Lineage: Eukaryota; Metazoa; Chordata; Mammalia; Lagomorpha; Ochotonidae
Source: Ensembl